RNAcentral lists this ribosomal RNA (449 nucleotides) under uncultured bacterium. Its description in RNAcentral is "partial 16S ribosomal RNA". It matches the Rfam family "Bacterial small subunit ribosomal RNA", at positions 29 to 523 of the family's 1533-position model. The record is from RNAcentral.
AACGAACGCUGGCGGCAUGCCUAACACAUGCAAGUCGAACGAGACCUUCGGGUCUAGUGGCGCACGGGUGCGUAACGCGUGGGAACCUGCCUUUAGGUUCGGAAUAACUCAGAGAAAUUUGAGCUAAUACCGGAUAAUGUCUUCGGACCAAAGAUUUAUCGCCUUCAGAUGGACCCGCGUUGGACUAGUCAGUUGGUGGGGUAAAGGCCUACCAAGGCGACGAUCCAUAGCUGGGCUGAGAGGAUGAUCAGCCACACUGGGACUGCGACACGGCCCAGACUCCUACGGGAGGAAGCAGUGGGGAAUAUUGGACAAUGGGCGAAAGCCUGAUCCAGCAAUGCCGCGGGAGUGAUGAAGGCCUUAGGGUUGUAAAGCUCUUUUACCCGAGAUGAUAAUGACAGUAUCGGGAGAAUAAGCUCCGGCUAACUCCGUGCCAGCAGCCGCGGUAA